Oncorhynchus tshawytscha (Chinook salmon) is the source of this 414-nucleotide long non-coding RNA. The record is from Ensembl. Lineage: Eukaryota; Metazoa; Chordata; Actinopteri; Salmoniformes; Salmonidae.
GUACAGGACAGGCAGGUCAGGUCAGGGCAGGCAGAGGUCAGUAAUCCAGAUAGGUGGGGCAAAGGUACAGGACGGCAGGCAGGUCAGGGCAGGCAGAGAUCAGUAAUCCAGAUAGGUGGGGCAAAGGUACAGGACGGCAGGCAGGUCAGGUCAGGGCAGGCAGAGGUCAGUAAUCCAGAUAGGUGGGGCAAAGGUACAGGACGGCAGGCAGGCCAGGUCAGGGCAGGCAGAGAUCAGUAAUCCAGAUAAGUGGGGCAAAGGUACAGGACGGCAGGCAGGUCAGGUCAGGGCAGGGCAGAGGUCAGUAAUCCAGAUAGGUGGGGCAAAGGUACAGGACGGCAGGCAGGCCAGGUCAGGGCAGGCAGAGGUCAGUAAUCCAGAUAGGUGGGGCAAAGGUACAGGACGGCAGGCAGG